Styela clava is the source of this 673-nucleotide non-coding RNA. The record is from RefSeq and is a predicted model, not a curated record. NCBI's taxonomy places the organism in Eukaryota, Metazoa, Chordata, Ascidiacea, Stolidobranchia, Styelidae.
CUUGUAGUGCGUCUGCAGGGAAAUUCAAUUAUUGUCUCUUCUUCUUUAUUAAUGCAGUAAUGAGAAUGUCUGUACAAUUGCGAUACUUGUUCUCAUAUUUUGCUGUUUUGUUACGUUUUUUCUGGAAACACCACAAAUGCAGAAUUAUGCAAAGAAAGAAGCAUUACAAACUUUACAAAAAAUUUCAACAUGCUGACAUGUGCAGCAGUUUUGCUGGAAACAACAGAAAUAUGCUACGAAAGAAGCAUCUUAACUUCUCCGAAAAUUUUUAACAUGUGACGCAUUUCUGCUGUAAACACAGAAACAACGAAUAUGCCAAGAAAGAAGCAUUACAACUUUUUCAACAAUGUUCAACAUGUUAUGAAAUAUGGUCGCGGUUUUAUCAAUGCAAAAAAUAUUUGCCGGUUUAACAGCGUGAUGCAAUUAUUUCAAAUAGUUUCCGUGUCCAUAUAUUUGAGCAUUGCUCUCUUGUUUUGACUAGAUUAUCAGCAGUAGACGAUAAAAUAAUAGAUAAAAACAAAAUAACUGAUUAUGAAUCGGGAAAGCAAACAUAACCUAAGCAAGGUUUGAAGCGUACAAAUUUUAAAAUGGAAAAGUAUUGAUAAAAGAAGUAGUACGUGUUCGCUCACCCAAAAGUAUAAAAAAAAAUUAAAGCACCCACGCACACUCAUCG